RNAcentral lists this transfer RNA (69 nucleotides) under Urocitellus parryii (Arctic ground squirrel). RNAcentral's name for it is "Spermophilus parryii (Arctic ground squirrel) tRNA". It matches the Rfam family "tRNA". Rfam says of the family: Transfer RNA (tRNA) molecules are approximately 80 nucleotides in length. The record is from Rfam by way of RNAcentral. Lineage: Eukaryota; Metazoa; Chordata; Mammalia; Rodentia; Sciuridae. RNAcentral also lists the same sequence under 2 other names.
GGGGCUGUAGCUCAGUGGUAGAGCACCUGCCUCGCAUGUGUGAGGUAAUGGGUUCGAGCCUCAGCGCCA